AGCAGCCGCGGUAAUUCCAGCUCCAAUAGCGUAUAUUAAAGUUGUUGCAGUUAAAAAGCUCGUAGUUGAAUUUCGGGGUCAGUAGAUUGGUCAUGCCACUGGUAUGUACUGGUCUCACUGAUUCCUCCUUCCUGAUGAGCCGUAAUGCCAUUAAUUUGGUGUUGCGAGGAAUCUGGACUGUUACUUUGAAAAAUUAGAGUGUUUAAAGCAGGCUAACGCUUGAAUACAUUAGCAUGGAAUAAUGAAAUAGGACGUUCGAUCUUAUUUUGUUGGUUUCUAAGAUUGACGUAAUGAUUAAUAGGGAUAGUUGGGGGCAUUAGUAUUCAAUUGUCAGAGGUGAAAUUCUCGGAUUUAUUGAAGACUAACUACUGCGAAAGCAUUUGCCAAGGAUGUUUUCAUUAAUCAAGAACGAAAGUUAGGGGAUCGAAGACGAUCAGAUACCGUCGUAGU
RNAcentral lists this ribosomal RNA (450 nucleotides) under uncultured Glomus. RNAcentral describes it as "SSU rRNA". It matches the Rfam family "Eukaryotic small subunit ribosomal RNA", at positions 569 to 1024 of the family's 1831-position model. Lineage: Eukaryota; Fungi; Glomeromycota; Glomeromycetes; Glomerales; Glomeraceae. The record is from RNAcentral.